CGGGGCCAGGCCUAGAGUUUCGUGUAGGGGAAGAUCGGGAAUUCCCUGGGUGUAGCCGGUGAAAAUGCCGCAGAAUAUCAGGAAGAAACCACCGGGUGGGCGAAAGGCGGAUUCUUGGGGCCCGAAUACUGACCGUGGAGGAGAGAAAAGCGUGGGGAGGCGACCCAGGUUUAAGAUCCCCGGGGUAGUCCCGCCCGGAAAACCGGUGGCCCACUAGGGUGUGCGCCACUUUCCAAGUUCUUCCCGUCCCCACAGCAACCGCUAUAAAGCCCCCCCCCGGGGGAAGCACGGCCCACAAGGAAAAAUCUCAAAAGGAAUUGAGGGGGCCCCCCCACAAGGGGGCGGAGCAUGUGGUCUUAUUUGGACCCCACCGCGAAGACCCUUACCAAGGCUUGACAUACACCGGAAACGUCUGGAGACAGGCGCCCCCUUGUGGUCGGUGUACAGGUGGUGCAUGGCUGUCGUCAGCUCGUGUCGUGAGAUGUUGGGUUAAGUCCCGCAACGAGCGCAACCCUUGUCCCGUGUUGCCAGCAGGCCCUUGUGGUGCUGGGGACUCACGGGAGACCGCCGGGGUCAACUCGGAGGAAGGUGGGGACGACGUCAAGUCAUCAUGCCCCUUAUGUCUUGGGCUGCACACGUGCUACAAUGGCCGGUACAAUGAGCUGCGAUACCGCGAGGUGGAGCGAAUCUCAAAAAGCCGGUCUCAGUUCGGAUUGGGGUCUGCAACUCGACCCCAUGAAGUCGGAGUCGCUAGUAAUCGCAGAUCAGCAUUGCUGCGGUGAAUACGUUCCCGGGCCUUGUACACACCGCCCGUCACGUCACGAAAGUCGGUAACACCCGAAGCCGGUGGCCCAACCCCUGUGGGAGGGAG
This 871-nucleotide ribosomal RNA is filed under the name Streptomyces sp. RNAcentral describes it as "bacterial SSU rRNA". It matches the Rfam family "Bacterial small subunit ribosomal RNA", at positions 575 to 1452 of the family's 1533-position model. Lineage: Bacteria; Bacillati; Actinomycetota; Actinomycetes; Kitasatosporales; Streptomycetaceae. The record is from RNAcentral.